Molecule: ribosomal RNA, 519 nt
Filed under: uncultured eukaryote
Lineage: Eukaryota
Description: SSU rRNA
Rfam family: Eukaryotic small subunit ribosomal RNA
Source: RNAcentral
AGGGCACCACCAGGAGUGGAGCCUGCGGCUUAAUUUGACUCAACACGGGAAAUCUCACCAGGCCCGGACACCGGAAGGAUUGACAGAUUGAGAGCUCUUUCUUGAUUCGGUGGGUGGUGGUGCAUGGCCGUUCUUAGUUGGUGGAGCGAUUUGCCUGGUUAAUUCCGAUAACGAACGAGACUCUGGCCUACUAACUAGACGUUGGAUCCCUUUGUGGGUCCAUCGCAGCUUCUUAGAGGGACGGGCGGCGUUUAGCCGCACGAGAUUGAGCAAUAACAGGUCUGUGAUGCCCUUAGAUGUUCUGGGCUGCACGCGCGCUACACUGAAGGAAUCAGCGUGUGUUCCCUAUCCGAAAGGAUUGGGAAACCCGUUGAACCUCCUUCGUGAUGGGGAUUGGGGAUUGCAAUUAUUCCCCAUGAACGAGGAAUUCCCAGUAGGCGCGAGUCAUAAGCUUGCGUCGAUUACGUCCCUGCCCUUUGUACACACCGCCCGUCGCUACUACCGAUCGAGUGAUUUAGU